Molecule: ribosomal RNA, 460 nt
Filed under: uncultured bacterium
Lineage: Bacteria
Description: partial 16S ribosomal RNA
Rfam family: Bacterial small subunit ribosomal RNA
Source: RNAcentral
CCUACGGGAGGCAGCAGUGAGGAAUAUUGGUCAAUGGCCGGAAGGCUGAACCAGCCAAGCCGCGUGAAGGACGAAGGUGCCAAGCAUUGUAAACUUCUUUUGUCAAGGGACAAAAUCAGGCUCGAGAGCCUGACCGAGGGUACUUUAAGAAAAAGCAUCGGCUAACUCCGUGCCAGCAGCCGCGGUAAUACGGAGGAUGCGAGCGUUAUCCGGAUUUAUUGGGUUUAAAGGGUGCGUAGGGGGAUUGUUAAGUCAGGUGUGAAAGCCCGGGGCUCAACCCCAGCAGAGCAGUGGAAAUGGGCAGUCUUGAGUACAGGAGAGGUAUGCGGAAUGCGUAGGGUAGCGGUGAAAUGCUUAGAUAUUGCGAAGAACUCCGAUUGCGAAGGCAGCAUACUGGACGGGAACUGACGUUGAGGCUCGAAAGCGUGGGUAUCAAACAGGAUUAGAUACCCCAGUAGUC